AUUGAACGCCGGCGGCAGGCCUAACACAUGCAAGUCGAGCGGAUGAAGGGAGCUUGCUCCUGUAUUCAGCGGCGGACGGGUGAGUAAUGCCUAGGAAUCUGCCUGGUAGUGGGGGAUAACGUCCGGAAACGGGCGCUAAUACCGCAUACGUCCUGAGGGAGAAAGUGGGGGAUCUUCGGACCUCACGCUAUCAGAUGAGCCUAGGUCGGAUUAGCUAGUUGGUGGGGUAAAGGCCUACCAAGGCGACGAUCCGUAACUGGUCUGAGAGGAUGAUCAGUCACAGUGGAACUGAGACACGGUCCAGACUCCUACGGGAGGCAGCAGUGGGGAAUAUUGGACAAUGGGCGAAAGCCUGAUCCAGCCAUGCCGCGUGUGUGAAGAAGGUCUUCGGAUUGUAAAGCACUUUAAGUUGGGAGGAAGGGCAGUAAGUUAAUACCUUGCUGUUUUGACGUUACCAACAGAAUAAGCACCGGCUAACUUCGUG
This 484-nucleotide ribosomal RNA is filed under the name uncultured bacterium. Its description in RNAcentral is "partial 16S ribosomal RNA". It matches the Rfam family "Bacterial small subunit ribosomal RNA", at positions 30 to 507 of the family's 1533-position model. The record is from RNAcentral.